UUCACCGGACGGGUCUGGAGGGGGAGGGGAAGAGAGUCUGCUCUGCGCAGACCCGCGGAAGCAAGGGGCCAGAAGAGGGAGGGGUGUGUUUGGGGUCAGUUCUAGGCUUUGACUGUUGGUUUUCCCGUGCAGGAUAAAGCUGAGACCCUGGAGCGAUCGAUACUGACAUGAAAUCCACACAGAAACAGGCAGGAUCCACCCAGGGCGGAGGGGAAGGGGAAAGGGAAGGGGUCAGGGCUAGGUAACAGGAGUGAUCCACCCCCCAGCUCGGGAUUUCCUCCCCGUCCGGAGGUGGGGUCAGUGGUGAGACAGAGAAGCCCAACACUGUGUGUUCAGAGUCGGGAUGAGUCUACCUCUCACCUAGGUCUCUGGGAUGAGGGCCCCACAGUGGGACGUGGUGUGAUCUCUGCUGCUGGGGGGACCAAAGUCCUGGGGGGGGGCCAUAAGCAUUUUCACUGAGGCAGGACACCAACAGCUGCUCCCUCUGUCCAGGAUAAAACCUCGUUCUUACUCUGAGACCCUCUAAAUCUGGGGUUUUCACUGCAAUUCUAGGUAUCUUCAUGGGGAAGAAAUUUAGGGAAUGGGAUAGGAAUGCCUCUUCUCUCCCUCUCCCUGGAAGGUAGGACAGGCCAGGGGCUGCUGGGGUGGAUUCCCUGGCCAUUAAAAAGAUUAGUCCAGGCUGCUUAGAUUGAAGCAACAGGCUGAGUUAACCAGGGAGCGACGCUUGAUUGUUCCUUAUAAGCCAGCCUGGGUCCAGAGCUUGGCAGUUCCGUGUGGAUCAUCUUCACUUUGGACAACGUGUCAGUCACGGCUAUGCAAAAGGCGGGCUUCACAGAGAUCUUUUCAAACCUGCUCCCGAGCAUUUUCUUUGGAAACAUGGUCCCACAGUGGUGAGGUCCAGAGGGCGGUUUCUUUGGCGUGUUUUCCAUCUUCUUCUCCUUAGCCACUUGGGUCCUCACACGGACCAGUAUCUCUGGAGACCUCAAGGUGAGAACCACGCUGAGGUAUGGCGCAUACCCAUCACCUGCCCCCUUCUCUUACCACUAGGGUUCUACUUUUGCUUCCAGGACCCUGCUACAGCUAUCCUUGCCAUCAUACAGACACACUUUCCUACCUGGAGAUUUUUGCCACAAGUGGUAAACCUUCUGUGCAGAAUGACCUGGAGCCCUGCUUUCUGCCUCUCUGAGGGCCAAGGGUAUAGGUGAUGAAAUGAGCAAGAGACAUCAUCAAUCACAUUAAAAGUAGUUUAAAUGCAGGUAGCCCCUCACCUUCCUUCGCCAUGUCUCCCCAUCCCUCAUGUCACUAAAAAAUUGUGUGGUGUUCUUUGAUUAUCAAAUUUGGCAUCCCCAGCAUCUGGGUGGCUUAGUCGAUUGUCUGCCUUCAGCUCAGGUCAUGAUCCCAGGCUUCUGGGAUGGAACCCUGUGUGGGGCUCCUGACUCAGCAGAGAGCCUGCUUCUCCCUCUUCCCCUCCCCCCUGCUCGUGCGCUCUCUUGCUCUCUAAUACAUAAAAAUCUUAAAAAAAAAAAAUUGGCAUGUCCCCCUCCCCACCCUCACACACCUCCCAUUCCCCCCUUUGGCACUGGUGGUGCCUAGACAGUCCUACUGCUCUGGGGUGUGAUUCUCUCUCCACAAAGGAAUGUGUGUUCCCAAUCUCAUUUCCAGGCUCCUGUAUGAUUGGAGAAGCUCCAGGAAGUAGGACUGACGUUGGGUGUGGAAUGGGAGCUGCCUGGGGCCAGAGUGCCAGUAAGGCUAGGAUUUCCACAGCUGUCCAGAGCAAGGGUCCUGCCUGAAUGCCCUCUCUAAGCACCAUCAGGAAUAUCUCACUAAAAAAAGAAAAAACGCUGAACGAAGACUUAAAGAUUGAGCUGACGCGGCAAGCUCUAGCUGGGGAAGAGCUUUCCAGGCAGAGGGAGCUGCAAGUAUGAAGACCUUGAGGACCGGCACAUCUUCCGUGUGUAAGGAAAAACGAAAAGGCCGCUGUUGCUGGAGCAGAGUGAACAAGGAAGAAGCCUAUAACUUACCAACCCAGCAAGAGGAAGAGAUUUUCCAGCCAAUGAAAAGCCACUACACUUGAAACUCUCGGUUUACUUCAAUGGACUUUUUGGACUUUUUAAGAUUUUUUUUUUAAGUCUUAUUUAAGUCUUAAAAAUGGGGCUCAAAUUUACAACCCCAAGAUCAAGAGUCACACACUCUUCAACUGAGCCAGCCAAGCACCCCAUCAAUGGACUUUUUAAAAUUAGAGCCCCUUCCUAACUACCC
Ailuropoda melanoleuca (giant panda) is the source of this 2259-nucleotide long non-coding RNA. RefSeq lists it as uncharacterized. NCBI's taxonomy places the organism in Eukaryota, Metazoa, Chordata, Mammalia, Carnivora, Ursidae. The transcript is spliced from 5 exons. The record is from RefSeq and is a predicted model, not a curated record.